RNAcentral lists this ribosomal RNA (1507 nucleotides) under Salmonella enterica subsp. enterica serovar Newport str. RI_10P068. Its description in RNAcentral is "bacterial LSU rRNA". It matches the Rfam family "Bacterial large subunit ribosomal RNA", at positions 1441 to 2925 of the family's 2925-position model. Lineage: Bacteria; Pseudomonadati; Pseudomonadota; Gammaproteobacteria; Enterobacterales; Enterobacteriaceae. The record is from RNAcentral.
GUACUUGGUGUUACUGCGAAGGGGGGACGGAGAAGGCUAUGUUGGCCGGGCGACGGUUGUCCCGGUUUAAGCGUGUAGGUGUGUGUUCCAGGUAAAUCCGGUUCACUUUAACACUGAGGCGUGAUGACGAGGCACUACGGUGCUGAAGCAACAAAUGCCCUGCUUCCAGGAAAAGCCUCUAAGCAUCAGGUAACAUCAAAUCGUACCCCAAACCGACACAGGUGGUCAGGUAGAGAAUACCAAGGCGCUUGAGAGAACUCGGGUGAAGGAACUAGGCAAAAUGGUGCCGUAACUUCGGGAGAAGGCACGCUGACACGUAGGUGAAGUGAUUUACUCAUGGAGCUGAAGUCAGUCGAAGAUACCAGCUGGCUGCAACUGUUUAUUAAAAACACAGCACUGUGCAAACACGAAAGUGGACGUAUACGGUGUGACGCCUGCCCGGUGCCGGAAGGUUAAUUGAUGGGGUCAGCGCAAGCGAAGCUCCUGAUCGAAGCCCCGGUAAACGGCGGCCGUAACUAUAACGGUCCUAAGGUAGCGAAAUUCCUUGUCGGGUAAGUUCCGACCUGCACGAAUGGCGUAAUGAUGGCCAGGCUGUCUCCACCCGAGACUCAGUGAAAUUGAACUCGCUGUGAAGAUGCAGUGUACCCGCGGCAAGACGGAAAGACCCCGUGAACCUUUACUAUAGCUUGACACUGAACAUUGAGCCUUGAUGUGUAGGAUAGGUGGGAGGCUUUGAAGCGUGGACGCCAGUCUGCGUGGAGCCGACCUUGAAAUACCACCCUUUAAUGUUUGAUGUUCUAACGUGGACCCGUAAUCCGGGUUGCGGACAGUGUCUGGUGGGUAGUUUGACUGGGGCGGUCUCCUCCUAAAGAGUAACGGAGGAGCACGAAGGUUGGCUAAUCCUGGUCGGACAUCAGGAGGUUAGUGCAAUGGCAUAAGCCAGCUUGACUGCGAGCGUGACGGCGCGAGCAGGUGCGAAAGCAGGUCAUAGUGAUCCGGUGGUUCUGAAUGGAAGGGCCAUCGCUCAACGGAUAAAAGGUACUCCGGGGAUAACAGGCUGAUACCGCCCAAGAGUUCAUAUCGACGGCGGUGUUUGGCACCUCGAUGUCGGCUCAUCACAUCCUGGGGCUGAAGUAGGUCCCAAGGGUAUGGCUGUUCGCCAUUUAAAGUGGUACGCGAGCUGGGUUUAGAACGUCGUGAGACAGUUCGGUCCCUAUCUGCCGUGGGCGCUGGAGAACUGAGGGGGGCUGCUCCUAGUACGAGAGGACCGGAGUGGACGCAUCACUGGUGUUCGGGUUGUCAUGCCAAUGGCACUGCCCGGUAGCUAAAUGCGGAAGAGAUAAGUGCUGAAAGCAUCUAAGCACGAAACUUGCCCCGAGAUGAGUUCUCCCUGAGACUUUAGAGUCUCCUGAAGGAACGUUGAAGACGACGACGUUGAUAGGCCGGGUGUGUAAGCGCAGCGAUGCGUUGAGCUAACCGGUACUAAUGAACCGUGAGGCUUAACCUU